CUCCACCCCACGUGCUGUUAUCAGCUAUACAGCACUCUUUACUAUGUAUAUCAUCAAUAUUGAAAGUUGUAUUUUAAAGUUUGUAUUAGGCCCGCCAAGCCCCAAGAGUUCACUAUAAAGUUUGAACCUGAGACUAGGGGGCCCCUUUAAUUGGGGGCCUACUGCUAAUUCCCCCUUGCCCCCUCCUAUUGGUAGUCAUGCAUGAUGUACAUGUGACUAGUAACGUGUUAUCUUGUAAUAUUUUUAUGUAGAAAUGUUCAGCUAAUGGUACAGGAUGUGGUGUUUGUCAUUCAAGGGAUCUGUUGUUCAGGUUUAGUGAAGAUGUGGUUACAUGUCCUAACUGCUCCUCACACUUUCACUGGUUAUAGCAAGUUCCUGUUAAAGGUUCAAGUACAUUAGGUUAAUGACAAUAAGAGGAUAAGUACAAUUCUCUGCUAUUGAAGACUACAUUGAGAAGUUAAUUGUUUGCUGUUUGAAACUGUACAUUAACUGAAGACUAUAAAGAAUUACUUAACAUUAUUGUUUAUAAUUUUAGCAUUUUUGUUUAAUACACAAAGUUGUCUUUUUGUCAUUGAUUAUUAUGAA
This is a long non-coding RNA of Amphimedon queenslandica, 585 nucleotides long. RefSeq lists it as uncharacterized. The record is from RefSeq and is a predicted model, not a curated record. NCBI's taxonomy places the organism in Eukaryota, Metazoa, Porifera, Demospongiae, Haplosclerida, Niphatidae. The transcript is spliced from 4 exons.